GUUCGAUCGCAAAGGCCCAACGU
Molecule: microRNA, 23 nt
Filed under: Heligmosomoides polygyrus
Lineage: Eukaryota; Metazoa; Nematoda; Chromadorea; Rhabditida; Heligmosomidae
Description: hpo-miR-10108-5p
Source: miRBase by way of RNAcentral